AUCCAGGGUUUGCGCGUUCAUCUCCAUCCUACCAGUUCUUUAGUUUGUACAUGAGUACAUCAUGUUGAGAUGAUUUCUGGUGGCCAGUUCGGCUUUGCUCCUGCUCCACGGUCGUUGGCAACUCUGCCGCCUCCGCCCUUCCUACUGAUCUGCAGGUUCAUCGCCCUUCCUGAAUUUUAUACUAACUGACCACAUAUCCUUUUCCGUGUGGCCGGAGUGGUGGGCGUCGGAUCAUGCCCCUGGAGGUUGUGCACUUGUGCUCGUGUGUCUGCCUCUCUUGGUCUACAGAUGGAUGGUGCCUCUAUUCCUCCGGGUGUCUGCCAUGGUAACCUUCUGGGGCGUGCCGGUGCGUUAGCCUUGCAUACUGGUUUGGCUUCUCCUUCCAGUCCCGAGACGGCUGGCGUACCGAGGUGGCUGGCGGUGCGCUGUACGACCUCCUGUCCUUCCUGAGGUGUAUCGGCUAUGUGAGGAGCUAAAGCGUCUAUCGUCGUGGUUGAUCCUCUCUCAAGUGAAGGAGAGGUAUUGUGCGUGCUUGCCCGCAGAGUGUCCGGAUUGGAGUUGUGACCGUGCGUCGCCGCCGUGGUUCCCGGCUCCUCCACACGUAGCACAUCCAUCUAUGGAUGAUUUGGUUUCCUCACGUAGUCACCUAUAAUGCUUGCAAAGUAACAAGGAGAACCUCAAUGAAGCCAAGAGGAGAAAAACUAAUAUACUCAUAUCUAAAUUUUACUGACAGAGAAUACGUCAUCAUAGUAAAAGAAUUGAGAAUCAUUACGGGGUUGAUGCAUUCAUAUAGAAUGAUCUCUUCUUCCAUACACUAAUACCUAAUCAGGUUAGAUUUCAUAUGUAGUAGUUCGACAUGGAAUUUUUUUCUAAAUGUCAAGCAGCUAUUAUUUUUCUUAGUUGUGCUUCAAAUCAAGAUGAUGCCACUGCAAUUAAUGGAUUUGACCAAGGUUUCUAUUGAUGUCGGUUGCAGUUACCCAACUAUGGAUGUAUAUGUACAAGCUGACAGAGCUCCAAGUGCUGAACAUUUCGUUCCCAUCUGUCAGGGUACUAUCUGUAGACUCUAUGUUGUAUGGUAGUGUAGUGUUUUUGUUCCGUUGGAGACAUAUUGCCUUUCUAUUGACAGUACUGUAAGUUGGUACAUGUGUGUUCACUCACAGUGUACCACUUUUUAGUGCCUCCGAACAAUGUUGUUGUCUGUACUUUUGGGCCCAUCCCGGAGAAACAAUUUCUCUAUCGUUUGCAUUUCACUCUUAUCUAUCUGGCCGUUUCCAGUCUACUCAACUAUAUCACUCUACAAAUAGUAGACCAUCAA
Lolium perenne is the source of this 1315-nucleotide long non-coding RNA. RefSeq lists it as uncharacterized. NCBI's taxonomy places the organism in Eukaryota, Viridiplantae, Streptophyta, Magnoliopsida, Poales, Poaceae. The record is from RefSeq and is a predicted model, not a curated record.